UGCGCAGGCGGAAUGAUUAGUCAGUGGUGAAAGCCCUCGGCUCAACUGAGGAACUGCCAUUGAUACUGUCAUUCUUGAGUACAGUUGUAGUGGGCGGAAUGUGUCAUGUAGCGGUGAAAUGCAUAGAGAUGACACAGAACACCGAUCGCGAAGGCAGCUCACUAAGCUGAAACUGACGCUCAGGCACGAAAGCGUGGGUAGCAAACAGGAUUAGAUACCCUGGUAGUCC
This 229-nucleotide ribosomal RNA is filed under the name uncultured bacterium. Its description in RNAcentral is "partial 16S ribosomal RNA". It matches the Rfam family "Bacterial small subunit ribosomal RNA", at positions 568 to 796 of the family's 1533-position model. The record is from RNAcentral.